GCAUGCCUUAUUAUUAGAUGAGUGAGGUGAAGCGAUAACUGUGAAGGCCAAUAUGGUGACACAGGCAAAGAGACUUGGCAGAGGAGACACGCAGGUCACCCUUGCUAAGGUUCAACUGAGAGCAUCCAUGGAGUGUUGGAAGUCGAUGAGGCAGGCCUUGUGGAAGCUGCGGUCACGGUUGCGAGGCAUGGCGGCACCACUGAGGCAGAGCUCAGCGAGUUUUGCUUAUGAUCUAAAGAGCUACUCCCAGAACUUUGACGAUGGUUUUCUCCAUGAGCAGUUUGUGCCGUGCUCUCACCACUUCAUUCAAUUCCUGACGACCGUCAGUCCUCUGGAGGCGCAAUUUUGCAUAUUAGAAGUUGGAUCGUACCGUGCUCUCACCACUUCAUUCAAUUCCUGACGGCCGUCAGUUCUCUGGAGGCGCAAUUUUGCUUAUUAGAAGUUGGAUCGUAAAAGAGGGGUAAUUUCCAUGUAUGUGUAUCGACUUGGAAAGGCUAAAUCUUCCUCGAGGACAAGUAAAUAAUUAUCUCGAGUCGUAGAGUUCCUCUCGUUUCCUAUCUAAAUUAGAAAUCUAUAUACACGUUAGCAUACCACAUUCUUCCUAUUAACGUGAUCGGCGUCGAUUGUCUACUGCCUUCUCUGUACCUGAGAAACGAGAUGCUGUCCCCAUCACCAGUAUUGCCUCAUAAAAUGUCCAGUAAGAUUAAAAGGUUAACCCGUGACGAUACAGAUUAUUAGCACGACUAUUUAUUCAGGUCUUUGGAACUCGAAGAGUAUUGUUUUGACAAUGGAAAUCGACUUUAAAGGAUUGAAUCGACGAUCUGUAUUCAAUCUCAUUAUAUUAGGAUUAAUUACUCAUGUGAUUUACAUUGAGAAUCUAUAAUUUUAAAAAUAAAAUAAAUAAUCUCAUAUAUUCUGAUCCCGUCAACUACAUUGACGGAUAAAAAGAAGGAAAAUAAAUAAUUUUAAUAUCU
This 974-nucleotide long non-coding RNA is filed under the name Musa acuminata (dwarf banana). Its description in RNAcentral is "long non-coding RNA (MACU_LNC000339)". The record is from RNAcentral. Lineage: Eukaryota; Viridiplantae; Streptophyta; Magnoliopsida; Zingiberales; Musaceae.